ACGCUAGCUACAGGCUUAACACAUGCAAGUCGAGGGGCAACAUGCCGGUUGCUUGCAACCGGUGAUGGCGACCGGCGCACGGGUGAGUAACGCGUAUCCAACCUUCCCGCGACCAAGGGAUAACCUGCCGAAAGGCAGACUAAUACCUUAUGUCCUCCUUUGAAGGCAUCUGACGAGGAGCAAAGAUCCGUCGGUCACGGAUGGGGAUGCGUCCGAUUAGCUUGUUGGCGGGGCAACGGCCCACCAAGGCUUCGAUCGGUAGGGGUUCUGAGAGGAAGGCCCCCCACACUGGAACUGAGACACGGUCCAGACUCCUACGGGAGGCAGCAGUGAGGAAUAUUGGUCAAUGGGCGGAAGCCUGAACCAGCCAAGUAGCGUGCAGGAUGACGGCCCUACGGGUUGUAAACUGCUUUUAUGCGGGGAUAAAGUUGCCCACGCGUGGGUUUUUGCAGGUACCGCAUGAAUAAGGACCGGCUAAUUCCGUGCCAGCAGCCGCGGUAAUACGGAAGGUCCGGGCGUUAUCCGGAUUUAUUGGGUUUAAAGGGAGCGCAGGCCGCCGUGCAAGCGUGCCGUGAAAAGCAGCGGCCCAACCGCUGCCCUGCGGCGCGAACUGCCUGGCUUGAGUGCGCCGGAAGCGGGCGGAAUUCGUGGUGUAGCGGUGAAAUGCUUAGAUAUCACGAAGAACCCCGAUUGCGAAGGCAGCCCGCUGUGGCGCCACUGACGCUGAGGCUCGAAGGUGCGGGUAUCGAACAGGAUUAGAUACCCUGGUAGUCCGCACGGUAAACGAUGGAUACCCGCUGUCCGGCCCGUACGGUCUGGGCGGCCAAGCGAAAGCAUUAAGUAUCCCACCUGGGGAGUACGCCGGCAACGGUGAAACUCAAAGGAAUUGACGGGGGCCCGCACAAGCGGAGGAACAUGUG
RNAcentral lists this ribosomal RNA (920 nucleotides) under uncultured bacterium. RNAcentral's name for it is "bacterial SSU rRNA". It matches the Rfam family "Bacterial small subunit ribosomal RNA", at positions 33 to 943 of the family's 1533-position model. The record is from RNAcentral.